UACGUAGGGGGCAAGCGUUGUCCGGAAUCAUUGGGCGUAAAGCGCGUGUAGGCGGUUCGAUAAGUCUGCUGUGAAAGUCCAGGGCUCAACCCUGGGAUGCCGGUGGAUACUGCGGGGCUAGAGUGCGGAAGGGGAAACUGGAAUUCUCGGUGUAGCGGUGAAAUGCGUAGAUAUCGAGGGGAACACCUGCGGCGAAGGCGGGUCGCUGGGCCGACACUGACGCUGAUGCGCGAAAGCCAGGGGAGCGAACGGG
This 253-nucleotide ribosomal RNA is filed under the name uncultured bacterium. Its description in RNAcentral is "partial 16S ribosomal RNA". It matches the Rfam family "Bacterial small subunit ribosomal RNA", at positions 524 to 776 of the family's 1533-position model. The record is from RNAcentral.